UCCACACCGUAAACGAUGAGAGCUAGUUGUCAGCAAAUUUAUUUGUUGGUGACGCAGCUAACGCAUUAAGCUCUCCGCCUGGGGAGUACGAUCGCAAGAUUAAAACUCAAAGGAAUUGACGGGGGCCCGCACAAGCGGUGGAGCAUGUGGUUUAAUUCGAUGCAACGCGCAGAACCUUACCGGCCCUUGACAUACCAAUCGCGAGAACCAGAGAUGGAUCUCUUCAGCUCGG
Molecule: ribosomal RNA, 232 nt
Filed under: uncultured bacterium
Lineage: Bacteria
Description: partial 16S ribosomal RNA
Rfam family: Bacterial small subunit ribosomal RNA
Source: RNAcentral